AGUUGUAAUUUGUAGAGGAUGCUUUUGGUGAGGUGCCGCCCGAGUUCCCUGGAACGGGACGCCACAGAGGGUGAGAGCCCCGUCUGGCUGGCCGCCGAGCCUCUGUAAAGCUCCUUCGACGAGUCGAGUAGUUUGGGAAUGCUGCUCAAAAUGGGAGGUAUAUGUCUUCUAAAGCUAAAUAUUGGCCAGAGACCGAUAGCGCACAAGUAGAGUGAUCGAAAGAUGAAAAGCACCUUGAAAAGAGGGUUAAAUAGUACGUGAAAUUGUUGAAAGGGAAGCGCUUGGGACCAGACUUGGGCGCGGCGGAUCAUCCGGGGUUCUCUCCGGUGCACUUCGCCGCGUCUAGGCCACCAUCAAUUCGUCNCGGGGGAAAAAGGCUUCGGGAACGUGGCUCCUCCGGGAGUGUUAUAGCCCGUUGCAUAAUACCCUGCG
RNAcentral lists this ribosomal RNA (432 nucleotides) under soil fungal sp. DM2-267. RNAcentral's name for it is "eukaryotic LSU rRNA". It matches the Rfam family "Eukaryotic large subunit ribosomal RNA", at positions 141 to 580 of the family's 3401-position model. Lineage: Eukaryota; Fungi. The record is from RNAcentral.